CAUGCAAGUGGUUAUAUUAACCCGACAGUUUAAAUAAGUGUUCAUAUUGCGUUUUAUAUACACACACACACACAAUAUAUACAAACGCAUUACAUUCACUACAACAGAAAGACGUAUCACUUACGCAACUGCAGACAGCUGCUUAAUACAGUCACACUYGUCUUGACUUGGCACAACCCACACACACACAUACACAACACAUACACAUAUUYUCACACAAUAUGUGAUUUCUCUGUUUUCGCAUAUUUACAAGAAUUGCGAUUACAUCGKGACAUUCUUUUUUUUUAUGGAUAACUCAGGGAAAGUUUGGCUAAUACGUACGAGUAUUUUUUACAACACACACACACACACCUACACAACCACACAGUAUACUACUCAGCACUCAAUGGUAAACUUUGAUAUUUUACAUUCGUGUAUUUUGUCAGUUUUAAAGUUUAACCGCAACAUGAGAGACAUUGAGUACGCACUGCAUUAUUUUUAACUUUACUGUUAAUAUUUUGCAAUUACGCUGAGCAGACUUUGCGAAGUUCACUUUGCGAAGCAUGUCAUACAAGCAUCUACAGCAUCAAGUCACAGGGUUGGCAAGUGUAUUUUUGAACCUUCAAAGCAGUCACGCAUACGGAAGAGUAGUUUCUGAUCCCAUAGAAGGAGCACCGUACAAUGAGAGACCGCUCUUAGUUCUAAGGAACGCAGCAGGCGCGUAAAUUGCCCAAUGCUAGUACCCUAAUACUAACUAAUAUAUAACAAUUUACCAAUUAUAUGCUUUACAGCAUAUUAUUGACACUUUUAUUAACUACUGUCAACACACAUACACACAUACACAUCCUUGUUCGCAUGUCCUUAUAUGUUAAUAAAUAUUAAAUAUUAUAUUUAUAUAUUAUUUAUUUUUUUUUACUGAGGCAGUGACAAGCUGUAACGGUUGAGUAUAAAAAUGACGAGUGUCUGGCAUUGCCGCUUCUUUCGGGGAGCUUGGCAAGUUGCCGACGCUUUGUGUGCUCAAUUGGAAUGCGGUGAGUUUAAGCAACUCAGAACCUUUAAUACGGUGUGAUUUUUUGAUCAUCGUGUUAUGUAUCUGAAUUUCAAGUGGAGGGCAAGUCUGGUGC
Molecule: ribosomal RNA, 1103 nt
Filed under: Cassidulinoides porrectus
Lineage: Eukaryota; Foraminifera; Rotaliida; Cassidulinidae
Description: SSU rRNA
Source: RNAcentral